CAUCCACUUAUCCUCGAGAGGCGGACAAAAACUUCACCUGCCCUUCAGCUCCGCCCUCCGGUUGGCUCUCCCGCCUCUUACCCGGUCCCACUGCGCCCGCCGCGCUGCCAACCACCGGGUAGAGUCAACAUGGUUCAUCCACCGAAGCUGUAGGCGACGAUAAAGACACCUCUCCGUUUUCAACUGAAUCCAGAACAGACACUGCCAAAAGUUACUGCUAGAGGGACUGUGAAGAUGUCAUUGACCACCACUCUCUAUCUCCUGGCAAUGGUGGCAAUGUGUGACCAGGUUAAAUCUCAUCGCAUCAACUUCUACAAUGUCAAACCUCCUGUGGAAGCCACUCCGUUCCCUAAGAGCUUCAAGUGCUUCACCUGUGAGAGAGCUGUGGACAACUACACCUGCAACCGCUGGGCUGAGGACAAGUGGUGUCCACCGAAUAGCCAGUUCUGUAUGACAGUGCACCAUUUCACCAGUCACGGCAAGACCAAGUUUGUGACCAAGAAGUGUGCUGCUCGUGAGGAGUGUCAUACGUCUGGCUGUAGACACCACAGGGACACGGGUCACACUGAGUGUGUGUCAUGCUGUGAGGGUAUGAUCUGCAAUGUGGAGGUCCCUACCAACCACACCAAUGCUGUGAUUGCCAUGAGGCAGCAGGCCUACAGCUCAGCCCCAUCCCAGACUCCUGUUAGGACGACGUGGAGCUGCUGCUGGCUGACGUUACUGCCCACUCUGGGCCUGGGGCUGACCAGGCUGGUCCUACUGUGAAACUACUGUCCCUCAGACCAGGUCCCUAUAGAGGGGACCAGACUGGACCAGACCAACAUGUCCCUCAGACCAGGUCCCUAUAGAGGGGACCAGACUGGACUAGACCAACAUGUCCCUCAGACCAGGUCUCUAUAGAGGGGACCAGACUGGGCCAGACCAACAUGUCCCUCAGACCAGGUCCCUAUAGAGGGGACCAGACUGGGCCAGACCAACAUGUCCCUCAGACCAGGUCCCUAUAGAGGGGACCAGACUGGACCAGACCAACAUGUCCCUCAGACCAGGUCUCUAUAGAGGGGACCAGACUGGACCAGACCAACAUGUCCCUCAGACCUGGUCCCUAUAGAGGGGACCAGACUGGACCAGACCAACAUGUCCCUCUGACCAGGUCCCUAUAGAGGGGACCAGACUGGACCAGACCAACAUGUCCCUCAGACCAGGUCCCUAUAGAGGGGACCAGACUGGACCAGACCAACAUGUCCCUCAGACCAGGUCCCUAUAGAGGGGACCAGACUGGACUAGACCAACAUGUCCCUCAGACCAGGUCUCUAUAGAGGGGACCAGACUGGGCCAGACCAACAUGUCCCUCAGACCAGGUCCCUAUAGAGGGGACCAGACUGGGCCAGACCAACAUGUCCCUCAGACCAGGUCCCUAUAGAGGGGACCAGACUGGACCAGACCAACAUGUCCCUCAGACCAGGUCUCUAUAGAGGGGACCAGACUGGACCAGACCAACAUGUCCCUCUGACCAGGUCCCUAUAGAGGGGACCAGACUGGACCAGACCAACAUGUCCCUCAGACCAGGUCCCUAUAGAGGGGACCAGACUGGACCAGACCAACAUGCCCCUCAGACCAGGUCCCUAUAGAGGGGACCAGACUGGACCAGACCAACAUGUCCCUCUGACCAGGUCCCUAUAGAGGGGACCAGACUGGACCAGACCAACAUGUCCCUCAGACCAGGUCCCUAUAGAGGGGACCAGACUGGACCAGACCAACAUGUCCCUCAGACCAGGUCUCUAUAGAGGGGACCAGACUGGACCAGACCAACAUGUCCCUCAGACCUGGUCCCUAUAGAGGGGACCAGACUGGACCAGACCAACAUGUCCCUCUGACCAGGUCCCUAUAGAGGGGACCAGACUGGACCAGACCAACAUGUCCCUCAGACCAGGUCCCUAUAGAGGGGACCAGACUGGACCAGACCAACAUGUCCCUCAGACCAGGUCCCUAUAGAGGGGACCAGACUGGACUAGACCAACAUGUCCCUCAGACCAGGUCUCUAUAGAGGGGACCAGACUGGGCCAGACCAACAUGUCCCUCAGACCAGGUCCCUAUAGAGGGGACCAGACUGGGCCAGACCAACAUGUCCCUC
This is an RNA transcript of Oncorhynchus keta (chum salmon), 2131 nucleotides long. It is a transcript of the gene named ly6/PLAUR domain-containing protein 6B-like, with no coding region annotated. The record is from RefSeq and is a predicted model, not a curated record. The transcript is spliced from 8 exons. NCBI's taxonomy places the organism in Eukaryota, Metazoa, Chordata, Actinopteri, Salmoniformes, Salmonidae.